Molecule: ribosomal RNA, 356 nt
Filed under: uncultured Glomeraceae
Lineage: Eukaryota; Fungi; Glomeromycota; Glomeromycetes; Glomerales; Glomeraceae
Description: SSU rRNA
Rfam family: Eukaryotic small subunit ribosomal RNA
Source: RNAcentral
AGCAGCCGCGGUAAUUCCAGCUCCAAUAGCGUAUAUUAAAGUUGUUGCAGUUAAAAAGCUCGUAGUUGAAUUUCGGGGUCGGUAGAUUGGUCGUGCCUCUGGUAUGCACUGGUCUUACUGGCUCCUCCUUCCUGAUGAACCGUAAUGCCAUUAAUUUGGUGUUGCGGGGAGACUGGACUGUUACUUUGAAAAAAUUAGAGUGUUUAAAGCAGGCUAACGCUUGAAUACAUUAGCAUGGAAUAAUGAAAUAGGACGUUCGAUCUUAUUUUGUUGGUUUCUAAGAUUGACGUAAUGAUUAAUAGGGAUAGUUGGGGGCAUUAGUAUUCAAUUGUCAGAGGUGAAAUUCUUGGAUGUAU